Drosophila bipectinata is the source of this 1540-nucleotide non-coding RNA. NCBI's taxonomy places the organism in Eukaryota, Metazoa, Arthropoda, Insecta, Diptera, Drosophilidae. The record is from RefSeq and is a predicted model, not a curated record.
UACGAGAUUGAAAUAAAAAUCGCAUUUUACAUACCUUUUCUCGACACCUACAUUUCUCAUCUUCAGAGUCGAUUCCAAAAACACAAAACAGUUUUUCAAAGUUUUGGACAGCUAUUCCUCAAACAAGGAUUCGACGAGAAGAAAUGUGCAAGCCUCUACCAAUUUAACCAAGUAAUACUGGAUUGUUCCGAGAGUAAUUUCAUUUCAUAAGUCAAAAUGUGGAGACAACGGAUCUGCAAUCAAAACAUCGAAAAUGCACUUGAUGCAUUAGCAAGUCGAUUCCAAAAACCCAAAACAGUUUUUCAAAGUUUUGGACAGCUAUUCCUCAAACAAGGAUUCGACGAGAAGAAAUGUGCAAGCCUCUACCAAUUUAACCAAGUAAUACUGGAUUGUUCCGAGAGUAAUUUCAUUUCAUAAGUCAAAAUGUGGAGACAACGGAUCUGCAAUCAAAACAUCGAAAAUGCACUUGAUGCAUUAGCAAGUCGAUUCCAAAAACACAAAACAGUUUUUCAAAGUUUUGGACAGCUAUUCCUCAAACAAGGAUUCGACGAGAGGAAAUGUGCAAGCCUCUACCAAUUUAACCAAGUAAUACUGGAUUGUUCCGAGAGUAAUUUCAUUUCAUAAGUCAAAAUGUGGAGACAACGGAUCUGCAAUCAAAACAUCGAAAAUGCACUUGAUGCAUUAGCAAGUCGAUUCCAAAAACCCAAAACAGUUUUUCAAAGUUUUGGACAGCUAUUCCUCAAACAAGGAUUCGACGAGAAGAAAUGUGCAAGCCUCUACCAAUUUAACCAAGUAAUACUGGAUUGUUCCGAGAGUAAUUUCAUUUCAUAAGUCAAAAUGUGGAGACAACGGAUCUGCAAUCAAAACAUCGAAAAUGCACUUGAUGCAUUAGCAAGUCGAUUCCAAAAACCCAAAACAGUUUUUCAAAGUUUUGGACAGCUAUUCCUCAAACAAGGAUUCGACGAGAAGAAAUGUGCAAGCCUCUACCAAUUUAACCAAGUAAUACUGGAUUGUUCCGAGAGUAAUUUCAUUUCAUAAGUCAAAAUGUGGAGACAACGGAUCUGCAAUCAAAACAUCGAAAAUGCACUUGAUGCAUUAGCAAGUCGAUUCCAAAAACCCAAAACAGUUUUUCAAAGUUUUGGACAGCUAUUCCUCAAACAAGGAUUCGACGAGAAGAAAUGUGCAAGCCUCUACCAAUUUAACCAAGUAAUACUGGAUUGUUCCGAGAGUAAUUUCAUUUCAUAAGUCAAAAUGUGGAGACAACGGAUCUGCAAUCAAAACAUCGAAAAUGCACUUGAUGCAUUAGCAAGUCGAUUCCAAAAACCCAAAACAGUUUUUCAAAGUUUUGGACAGCUAUUCCUCAAACAAGGAUUCGACGAGAAGAAAUGUGCAAGCCUCUACCAAUUUAACCAAGUAAUACUGGAUUGUUCCGAGAGUAAUUUCAUUUCAUAAGUCAAAAUGUGGAGACAACGGAUCUGCAAUCAAAACAUCGAAAAUGCACUUGAUGCAUUAGCAAUCAUAAAUGGAAUAACUUGCAAAA